This 19-nucleotide microRNA is filed under the name Gallus gallus (chicken). RNAcentral's name for it is "microRNA Ros-gga". The record is from RNAcentral. Lineage: Eukaryota; Metazoa; Chordata; Aves; Galliformes; Phasianidae.
UACUCACCCUCCUUACCCC